GACGAACGCUGGCGGCGUGCUUAACACAUGCAAGUCGAACGGAAAGGCCCAGCUUGCUGGGUGCUCGAGUGGCGAACGGGUGAGUAACACGUGGGUGAUCUGCCCCUAACUUCGGGAUAAGCUUGGGAAACUGGGUCUAAUACCGGAUAGGACAAUCGUUUAGUGUCGGUUGUGAAAGUUUUUUCGGUUAGGGAUGAGCCCGCGGCCUAUCAGCUUGUUGGUGGGGUAAUGGCCUACCAAGGCGUCGACGGGUAGCCGGCCUGAGAGGGUGGACGGCCACAUUGGGACUGAGAUACGGCCCAGACUCCUACGGGAGGCAGCAGUGGGGAAUAUUGCACAAUGGGCGCAAGCCUGAUGCAGCGACGCCGCGUGGGGGAUGACGGCCUUCGGGUUGUAAACCUCUUUCGACAGGGACGAAGCUUUGGUGACGGUACCUGUAUAAGAAGCACCGGCUAACUACGUG
RNAcentral lists this ribosomal RNA (463 nucleotides) under uncultured bacterium. RNAcentral describes it as "partial 16S ribosomal RNA". It matches the Rfam family "Bacterial small subunit ribosomal RNA", at positions 28 to 507 of the family's 1533-position model. The record is from RNAcentral.